Molecule: long non-coding RNA, 481 nt
Organism: Sinocyclocheilus rhinocerous
Lineage: Eukaryota; Metazoa; Chordata; Actinopteri; Cypriniformes; Cyprinidae
Exons: 3
Source: RefSeq, a predicted model, not a curated record
UAGUCAUUAGUUCCUCUUCCAUUUGUAUAAAUUCCCUUCCUUUAGUUCUCUGAGUUGUCAGUUAUUGUAUGUGGUUACCCUUCGUGUAUUGAUAUUCCCUUCAUCUUUCCCUGUGGAUGUAUUUAAAAAGAAUUAAGAUUAUCUUCGUUGUAUGCUCUUCUGUCUUCAUUCCAUCAGGUAAUCAUGAACGUUGAUUCUACUUAAAGCCACAUGAGGGCGGUGUAUAGGCAGUGCAGUCAUUCCAGAUGGCCUCAAUUGCUUCAUUCUUGGCCUGCCAAACAGACGUUAUCGACAGAGCAAUCCAGCUGAUGAUAGAUCCUCAUUCAGCUGCCCUCCUGCAUGGAUGAAUUCGGGAGAACUGUAAAUGAGGACUGGCAUAUGGCAUUUUCAUUGUAGCUGUUUGAAAGUUCAGUGACAUUAUUAAGCAUACACUCACCCUUCAUUUCUGGUGACAUGAUGGACUGAAGAGGACAUUACAACA